AAUCACAUUGCCAGGGAUUUCCAAU
This 25-nucleotide non-coding RNA is filed under the name Mus musculus (house mouse). The record is from RNAcentral. Lineage: Eukaryota; Metazoa; Chordata; Mammalia; Rodentia; Muridae. RNAcentral also lists the same sequence under 2 other names.